GAGUUUGAUCCUGGCUCAGGAUGAACGCUGGCGGCGUGCUUAACACAUGCAAGUCGAACGAAGCACUGGAGAACGAAUCUUCGGAGGAAGUCUCCUUUGACUGAGUGGCGGACGGGUGAGUAACGCGUGGGUAACCUGCCUCACACAGGGGGAUAACAGUUGGAAACGACCGCUAAUACCGCAUAAGCCGGAAGGAUCGCAUGAUCCGGCCGGAAAAGAUUUAUCGGUGUGAGAUGGACCCGCGUCUGAUUAGCCAGUUGGCAGGGUAACGGCCUACCAAAGCGACGAUCAGUAGCCGGCCUGAGAGGGUGAACGGCCACAUUGGGACUGAGACACGGCCCAAACUCCUACGGGAGGCAGCAGUGGGGAAUAUAGCACAAUGGGGGAAACCCUGAUGCAGCAACGCCGCGUGAAAGGAGAAGUAUUUCGGUAUGUAAAGCUCUAUCAGCAGGGAAGAAAA
This 460-nucleotide ribosomal RNA is filed under the name uncultured bacterium. RNAcentral's name for it is "bacterial SSU rRNA". It matches the Rfam family "Bacterial small subunit ribosomal RNA", at positions 9 to 451 of the family's 1533-position model. The record is from RNAcentral.